Molecule: ribosomal RNA, 703 nt
Filed under: Proteus mirabilis
Lineage: Bacteria; Pseudomonadati; Pseudomonadota; Gammaproteobacteria; Enterobacterales; Morganellaceae
Description: bacterial LSU rRNA
Rfam family: Bacterial large subunit ribosomal RNA
Source: RNAcentral
GCGAACGGGGAGCAGCCCAGAGUCUUAAUCAAUGGCAGUGUCAGGAGAACGGUCUGGAAAGUCCGGCAGUAAAGGGUGAUAGCCCCGUAUCUGAAGAUGCUGUUAUUGUGAACUCGACGAGUAGGGCGGGACACGUGUUAUCCUGUCUGAAUAUGGGGGGACCAUCCUCCAAGGCUAAAUACUCCUGAUUGACCGAUAGUGAACCAGUACCGUGAGGGAAAGGCGAAAAGAACCCCGGCGAGGGGAGUGAAAAAGAACCUGAAACCGUGUACGUACAAGCAGUAGGAGCCUCUUUAUGGGGUGACUGCGUACCUUUUGUAUAAUGGGUCAGCGACUUAUAUUCUGUAGCAAGGUUAACCGCAUAGGGGAGCCGUAGGGAAACCGAGUCUUAACUGGGCGAAUGAGUUGCAGGGUAUAGACCCGAAACCCGGUGAUCUAUCCAUGGGCAGGUUGAAGGUUGGGUAACACUAACUGGAGGACCGAACCGACUAAUGUUGAAAAAUUAGCGGAUGACUUGUGGAUGGGGGUGAAAGGCCAAUCAAACCGGGAGAUAGCUGGUUCUCCCCGAAAGCUAUUUAGGUAGCGCCUCGUGAACUCAUCUUCGGGGGUAGAGCACUGUUUCGACUAGGGGGUCAUCCCGACUUACCAACUCGAUGCAAACUGCGAAUACCGAAGAAUGUUAUCACGGGAGACACACGGCGGG